Molecule: non-coding RNA, 550 nt
Organism: Phalacrocorax carbo (great cormorant)
Lineage: Eukaryota; Metazoa; Chordata; Aves; Suliformes; Phalacrocoracidae
Source: RefSeq, a predicted model, not a curated record
CCCUCCCUGCAGACGCUGCUGGGGCUGGUGCUGGUGCUGCGCCUGCCCUGGGUGGUCGGCACCGGCGGGGUCCUGCAGGCCGGCGCCAUCGGCCUCCUGCUGGGCGCCUGCGCGGCUGUCCCCUGGGGCUGCUGUCGGGGGCGCUGGGCCCCGAGGCAGGCGGGGCCGUGGGGCUGUGCGCCUUCCUCAGCGCCGCCUUCGCCGCCGCUGCCGCCGCCCUGGGCGCGGCCGAGAUCCUGCUGGUGUACGUGGCCCCCCAGGCCGCUGUCCUGCCCGGGCGGGGCCGUGGGGCACGGCUGAACAACGGGCGUGGCUACGGGGCGGGGCUGCUAGCCCUGCUGGGUCUGGGGGCCGCUGCCCGCCACGCUGCCCGCGUGACACCCCUGGGCCCCGCCGGGCUGCUGCUGGCCCUGCUGGGGCUGCAGGCGGGGGCCCUGCGCGCCGCCCUGCCGGGGGGCAACGCCCACACUCUCUGCCUGCCCCCCCAGCCCGGCGGCCGCCUCCAGCCCUGCCCCACGGCCCGGCCCCACGGCGGGGGGGACGGCAAUGG